This 425-nucleotide unclassified non-coding RNA is filed under the name soil metagenome. Its description in RNAcentral is "partial contains 5.8S ribosomal RNA, internal transcribed spacer 2, and large subunit ribosomal RNA". The stretch from base 1 to 120 matches the Rfam family "5.8S ribosomal RNA", at positions 35 to 154 of the family's 154-position model. The record is from RNAcentral.
GAUGAAGAACGUAGCGAAAUGCGAUACGUAAUGUGAAUUGCAGAAUUCAGUGAAUCAUCGAAUCUUUGAACGCAUAUUGCGCUCUCUGGUAUUCCGGAGAGCAUGCUUGUUUGAGUAUCAGUAAACACCUCAACUCCCUUUUCUUUUUUGAAAUUGGAGCUGGACUUGAGUGAUCCCAACGCUUUCUUCCAAGAAAGUGGCGGGUUGCUUGAAAUGCAGGUGCAGCUGAACUUUUCUCUGAGCUAUAAGCAUAUCUAUUUAGUCCUCGUCAAACAGGAUUAUUACUUUUGCUGCAGCUAACAUAAAGGAUAAUUGUCCUCUUUGCUGACUGAUGCAGGAUUUUACGACACUUUAUGUGUUGUUCAACUCGAUCUCAAAUCAAGUAAGACUACCCGCUGAACUUAAGCAUAUCAAUAAGCGGAGGA